This 493-nucleotide ribosomal RNA is filed under the name uncultured bacterium. RNAcentral describes it as "bacterial SSU rRNA". It matches the Rfam family "Bacterial small subunit ribosomal RNA", at positions 28 to 531 of the family's 1533-position model. The record is from RNAcentral.
GACGGACGCUGGCGGCGUGCCUAACACAUGCAAGUCGAACGGAGAUAUGAUUUCGGUUGUAUCUUAGUGGCGAACGGGUGAGUAACGCGUGAGCAACCUGACUCUUAGAGGGGGAUAACACUCGGAAACGGGUGCUAAUACCGCAUAAGACCACGACAUGGCAUCAUGACGAGGUCAAAGGAGCAAUCCGCUGAGAGAGGGGCUCGCGUCCCAUUAGAUAGAUGGCGGGGUAACGGCCCACCAUGUCAACGAUGGGUAGCCGAGCUGAGAGGCUGAUCGGCCACACUGGAACUGAGACACGGUCCAGACUCCUACGGGAGGCAGCAGUGGGGAAUAUUGGGCAAUGGGCGCAAGCCUGACCCAGCAACGCCGCGUGAGGGGAAGAAGGCCUUCGGGUUGUAACCUCUGUCAUGGGGAAGGAAGUAAGUGACGGUACCCCAACGAGGAAGCCCCUCGCUAACUACGUGCCAGCAGCCGCGGUAAGAGUAGUACA